CUGCUGCACUGGGGUGCUGCUUGUGGCUUUGGGAUAGAUGCUACUACAGAGGGAGCUAGCAGCCCAAGUUCUCAGAUGCCAUAACAUGGAAUUACCUGGCUUUCAGCUCCUUGCAGGAUGUGGUGGUCCUUUAAGUCCUCUGCUAAAGAAGGACAUCUAUAUAUGGAGAAACCCAUUGCAUUACUACUGGAAGAUGAGAGAAGCAGACAACAAAUUGUAUUGGUGCCCAAGUGAUGAAGGUUUCAAGAAAUUCCAAAAGUUAAAUUCUUCCAACUUUCUGAAAGAAGAUGAAAAUUUGAACACAUAUUAA
RNAcentral lists this long non-coding RNA (310 nucleotides) under Anas platyrhynchos platyrhynchos (common mallard). RNAcentral describes it as "lncRNA (ENSAPLG00000027805.1)". The record is from RNAcentral. Lineage: Eukaryota; Metazoa; Chordata; Aves; Anseriformes; Anatidae.